Molecule: ribosomal RNA, 468 nt
Filed under: uncultured bacterium
Lineage: Bacteria
Description: partial 16S ribosomal RNA
Rfam family: Bacterial small subunit ribosomal RNA
Source: RNAcentral
GACGAACGCUGGCGGCGCGCCUAACACAUGCAAGUCGAACGGAGUCAAGAGGAGCUUGCUUUUCUUGACUUAGUGGCGAACGGGUGAGUAACGCGUGAGUAACCUGCCCUGGAGUGGGGGACAACAGUUGGAAACGACUGCUAAUACCGCAUAAGCCCACGGAUCUGCAUGGAUCUGCGGGAAAAGGAUUUAUUCGCUCUAGGAUGGAGUCGCGUCCAAUUAGCGAGUUGGUGAGGUAACGGCCCACCAAGGCGACGAUUGGUAGCCGGACUGGGAGGUGGAACGGUCACAUUGGGACUGAGACACGGCCCAGACUCCUACGGGAGGCAGCAGUGGGGGAUAUUGCACACUGGGGGAAAACCUGAUGCAGCGACGCCGCGUGGAGGAAGAAGGUUUUCGGAUUGUAAACUCCUGUCGUUCGGGACGAUAAUGACGGUACCUAACAAGAAAGCACCAGCUAACUACGUG